This 100-nucleotide small nucleolar RNA is filed under the name Capsicum annuum. RNAcentral's name for it is "Plant small nucleolar RNA R71". It matches the Rfam family "Plant small nucleolar RNA R71". From Rfam's summary of the family: R71 is a member of the C/D box family of snoRNAs containing the C (UGAUGA) and D (CUGA) box motifs. Multiple nearly identical copies of this snoRNA have been identified in Arabidopsis, and it is thought to function as a 2'-O-ribose methylation guide for 18S ribosomal RNA. Lineage: Eukaryota; Viridiplantae; Streptophyta; Magnoliopsida; Solanales; Solanaceae. The record is from Rfam by way of RNAcentral.
AUAGUGGUGUGGGCAAUCUCUCAAGUAUCCUUUGUAUCUCUCCUAAGCUUGGGGAUUUAACAUCUUUUUGAAUAAAUCCAGAAAUCUUGCCUCUGAUUUU